RNAcentral lists this ribosomal RNA (505 nucleotides) under uncultured bacterium. RNAcentral's name for it is "partial 16S ribosomal RNA". It matches the Rfam family "Bacterial small subunit ribosomal RNA", at positions 28 to 507 of the family's 1533-position model. The record is from RNAcentral.
GACGAACGCUGGCGGCGUGCCUAAUACAUGCAAGUACAACGCACAGUUUAUACCGUAGCUUGCUACACCAUAGACUGUGAGUUGCGAACGGGUGAGUAACGCGUAGGUAACCUGCCUGGUAGCGGGGGAUAACUAUUGGAAACGAUAGCUAAUACCGCAUAAUAUUAAUUAUUGCAUGAUAAUUAAUUGAAAGGUGCAAUUGCACCACUACCAGAUGGACCUGCGUUGUAUUAGCUAGUAGGUGAGGUAACGGCUCACCUAGGCGACGAUACAUAGCCGACCUGAGAGGGUGAUCGGCCACACUGGGACUGGGACACGGCCCAGACUCCUACGGGAGGCAGCAGUAGGGAAUCUUCGGCAAUAGACGAAAGUCUGACCGAGCAACGCCGCGUGAGUGAAGAAGGUUUUCGGAUCGUAAAGCUCUGUUGUAAGAGAAGAACGGGUGUGAGAGUGGAAAGUUCACACUGUGACGGUAUCUUACCAGAAAGGGACGGCUAACUACGUG